GAUGAACGCUGACAGAAUGCUUAACACAUGCAAGUCUUUGGCGAAGCUGUGCUUGCACCGCCUAGCCAAGGCGGACGGGUGAGUAACGCGUAAGGAACUUGCCCUGCAGUCAGGGAUAACAGACGGAAACGACUGAUAAGACCUGGUAAAGUCAGGCGGACUCAUGUCCAGCCUGAUGAAAAGAGAUGCUGCAGGAGAGCCUUGCGUCCUAUUAGCUUGUUGGUGGGGUAACGGCCCACCAAGGCGAUGAUAGGUAGCCGGCCUGAGAGGGUGGACGGCCACAAGGGGACUGAGAUACGGCCCUUACUCCUACGGGAGGCAGCAGUGGGGAAUAUUGGACAAUGGGGGCAACCCUGAUCCAGCAAUUCUGUGUGCACGACGAAGGUUUUCGGAUUGUAAAGUGCUUUCAGCAGGGAAGAAAAAAAUGACGGUACCUGCAGAAGAAGCGACGGCUAAAUACGUG
Molecule: ribosomal RNA, 463 nt
Filed under: uncultured bacterium
Lineage: Bacteria
Description: partial 16S ribosomal RNA
Rfam family: Bacterial small subunit ribosomal RNA
Source: RNAcentral